AUGCAAGUCGAACGCAGUAGCAAUACUGAGUGGCAAACGGGUGAGUAUAAUGUGGGUAUCUGCCUUUUGGUUUGGAAUAACAUGAGGAAACUUGUGCUAAUACCGGAUAAGCCUUCACAGGGAAAGUUUUAUACGCCGAAAGAUGAGCCCGCACUUGAUUAGUUUGUUGGUGAGGUAAUGGCUCACCAAGACUAUUAUCAAUAGCUGGUCUGAGAGGACGAUCAGCCACAUUGGGACUGAGACACGGCCCAGACUCCUACGGGAGGCAGCAGUAAGGAAUCUUGCACAAUGGGGGAAACCCUGAUGCAGCGAUGCCGCGUGAGUGAAGAAGGCCCUUGGGUUGUAAAACUCUUUCGUCGGGGAAGAAAAUGACUGUACCCGAAUAAGAAGGUCCGGCUAACUUCGUGCCAGCAGCCGCGGUAAUACGAAGGGACCUAGCGUAGUUCGGAAUUACUGGGCUUAAAGAGCUCGUAGGUGGUUAAAAAAGUUGAUGGUGAAAUCCCAAGGCUCAACCUUGGAACUGCCAUCAAAACUUUUUAGCUAGAGUGUGAUAGAGGAAAGUGGAAUUUCUAGUGUAGAGGUGAAAUUCGUAGAUAUUAGAAAGAACACCAAAUGCGAAGGCAACUUUCUGGGUCACUACUGACACUGAGGAGCGAAAGCAUGGGUAGCGAAGAGGAUUAGAUACCCUCGUAGUCCAUGCCGUAAACGAUGUGUGCUAGACGUUGGAAAUAUAUUUUUCAGUGUCGCAGCGAAAGCAUUAAGCACACCGCCUGGGGAGUACGACCGCAAGGUUAAAACUCAAAUGAAUUGACGGGGACCCGCACAAGCAGUGGAGCAUGUGGUUUAAUUCGAAGAUACGCGCAGAACCUUACCAACACUUGACAUGUUCGUCGCGAGACCAA
Molecule: ribosomal RNA, 902 nt
Filed under: uncultured marine bacterium
Lineage: Bacteria
Description: bacterial SSU rRNA
Rfam family: Bacterial small subunit ribosomal RNA
Source: RNAcentral